AGAGUUUGAUCAUGGCUCAGAUUGAACGCUGGCGGCAGGCCUAACACAUGCAAGUCGAACGGUAACAGGAAGCAGCUUGCUGCUUUGCUGACGAGUGGCGGACGGGUGAGUAAUGUCUGGGAAACUGCCUGAUGGAGGGGGAUAACUACUGGAAACGGUAGCUAAUACCGCAUAACGUCGCAAGACCAAAGAGGGGAACCUUCGGGCCUCUUGCCAUCGGAUGUGCCCAGAUGGGAUUAGCUAGUAGGUGGGGUAACGGCUCACCUAGGCGACGAUCCCUAGCUGGUCUGAGAGGAUGACCAGCCACACUGGAACUGAGACACGGUCCAGACUCCUACGGGAGGCAGCAGUGGGGAAUAUUGCACAAUGGGCGCAAGCCUGAUGCAGCCAUGCCGCGUGUAUGAAGAAGGCCUUCGGGUUGUAAAGUACUUUCAGCGGGGAGGAAGGGAGUAAAGUUAAUACCUUUGCUCAUUGACGUUACCCGCAGAAGAAGCACCGGCUAACUCCGUGCCAGCAGCCGCGGUAAUACGGAGGGUGCAAGCGUUAAUCGGAAUUACUGGGCGUAAAGCGCACGCAGGCGGUUUGUUAAGUCAGAUGUGAAAUCCCCGGGCUCAACCUGGGAACUGCAUCUGAUACUGGCAAGCUUGAGUCUCGUAGAGGGGGGUAGAAUUCCAGGUGUAGCGGUGAAAUGCGUAGAGAUCUGGAGGAAUACCGGUGGCGAAGGCGGCCCCCUGGACGAAGACUGACGCUCAGGUGCGAAAGCGUGGGGAGCAAACAGGAUUAGAUACCCUGGUAGUCCACGCCGUUAAACGAUGUCGACUUGGAGGUUGUGCCCUUGAGGCGUGGCUUCCGGAGCUAACGCGUUAAGUCGACCGCCUGGGGAGUACGGCCGCAAGGUUAAAACUCAAAUGAAUUGACGGGGGCCCGCACAAGCGGUGGAGCAUGUGGUUUAAUUCGAUGCAACGCGAAGAACCUUACCUGGUCUUGACAUCCACGGAAGUUUUCAGAGAUGAGAAUGUGCCUUCGGGAACCGUGAGACAGGUGCUGCAUGGCUGUCGUCAGCUCGUGUUGUGAAAUGUUGGGUUAAGUCCCGCAACGAGCGCAACCCUUAUCCUUUGUUGCCAGCGGUCCGGCCGGGAACUCAAAGGAGACUGCCAGUGAUAAACUGGAGGAAGGUGGGGAUGACGUCAAGUCAUCAUGGCCCUUACGACCAGGGCUACACACGUGCUACAAUGGCGCAUACAAAGAGAAGCGACCUCGCGAGAGCAAGCGGACCUCAUAAAGUGCGUCGUAGUCCGGAUUGGAGUCUGCAACUCGACUCCAUGAAGUCGGAAUCGCUAGUAAUCGUGGAUCAGAAUGCCACGGUGAAUACGUUCCCGGGCCUUGUACACACCGCCCGUCACACCAUGGGAGUGGGUUGCAAAAGAAGUAGGUAGCUUAACCUUCGGGAGGGCGCUUACCACUUUGUGAUUCAUGACUGGGGUGAAGUCGUAACAAGGUAACCGUAGGGGAACCUGCGGUUGGAUCACCU
Molecule: ribosomal RNA, 1531 nt
Filed under: Escherichia coli DEC1A
Lineage: Bacteria; Pseudomonadati; Pseudomonadota; Gammaproteobacteria; Enterobacterales; Enterobacteriaceae
Description: bacterial SSU rRNA
Rfam family: Bacterial small subunit ribosomal RNA
Source: RNAcentral